Molecule: ribosomal RNA, 253 nt
Filed under: uncultured bacterium
Lineage: Bacteria
Description: partial 16S ribosomal RNA
Rfam family: Bacterial small subunit ribosomal RNA
Source: RNAcentral
UACGUAGGGGGCUAGCGUUGUCCGGAUUUAUUGGGCGUAAAGAGCGUGUAGGCGGCCAGGUAGGUCUGCUGUGAAAACUCGAGGCUUAACCUCGAGAUGUCGGCGGAAACCAUCUGGCUAGAGUCCGGAAGAGGAGAGUGGAAUUCCUGGUGUAGCGGUGAAAUGCGCAGAUAUCAGGAAGAACACCCGUGGCGAAGGCGGCUCUCUGGGACGGUACUGACGCUGGGGUGCGAAAGCGUGGGGAGCGAACAGG